CGUGCUGAUCAUGUUGUAGUCUCAUUAUUUGAGUCCAGGUCUGCCCUCCGUCUCCACUCCCCAUUCCUUGAUGGAAUUUGUGCGUAUGUGUACCCCGGCCCACAGCAUGGAGCGGGCGGUAGGUUGAGCCCUUCCUACAUGCCACGGCUAACACUGAAUGCUUUAAGACAUGCCAGGUCUUAUUCUGAGCGUGUUACCUGAAAACACUCCUAAAAUCCUGCUGACAAACUUAUGAGGCAGGUACUGUCAUAUUCCCCAUUUUGUAGAUGAGAAAACAGGGGUACACAGAGAUAUUAGGUCCCUGACCAAGGUCGCAUACCAGUAAGGGAUAUGGCUGGAUUCUCACCAAGGCAUCUGUCAACAAAGCCUGGCCUCUCCACUCCAUAGCCUUAUGCCUCUCUCAAUGUGCACUGGAUCACUCAGUGACAGAGUGCUUGUUCUUAAGGAAACGAUAAUCUGGUUGAGCUGAUGAGCUGCACAGCACACACAGGAUACACCUGGGUAAUGAAGGACGGCAUAUGAUUAAGAACUAAGGCAUGGCACAGAUGAUAGGUGCUGUAAGCGUCUAAGGUGGCAGCUCUUGAUGGAUGUUAGCGUGCUAACCAGGGAAGACUUCCUGGAGAAGAUGUGACUGUUUUUGAGAUUUGAAGGCUGUAAAGGCCUUUAGGUGGUAAAGAGGUGCGAGUUAUUUCCAUUGUGAGGAGGGUGAAGAAGUGGGGAAUAGAGUUCACCUGGCAGGAUAGGCAAUCCCGGGCAAAGGAAUGGUAGGAGAGGUUAUCUAGAUAGGUGGGGGCCUUGAAAGCCGCCUGAGAAAUAUAAAUACAACCCAAAGGAAAAAUAUGGUUAUUUGGUUUAGUGUGUGGCUUAGAAAAUCGUCUUCUUUGAGUGUGUUCAACAUUCUAGAAAAUGGAACGUGGUCAGAAGAAGGGCCUUGCUGUUUCAGCACAGCAGAGAGCUACAACAUCCCCCUCCCUUUGCAAUGCAACAGCUGGGCCCACGUCCUUCCUGGGACUUCUGGGAAUGGAGAAGCUGCUACAGCCUGAGGUCAGCAAAGUCUUAGGAUCAGGAGGACAUGAGCGGCAGUUUAUCUGUAUUUAACAGGGGCUGGUGUCUGAGUUUACCUGGCUGGCAGUCCUGGAUACCGGCGACUACAUCAACACACGAGUUUCUUGGAUUAAGAAUUCAGCCUCCCAUGUUAAGAUCCAGAGAAUCCAGCUAAAUUCAGUGAUUCUUCCCCGAGCUCCCCACAAAAGGCUUUUGAAGGCUGCAACACCAGAGAAGAGAAGGGAGUCCAGAACUGACCUGGGAGUGUGGAGAUCCAGAUUUAGAACUCAGCUCAGCUCCUCAUGAAGUGUGAUCAUGGGAAGAUCCUUUACCCUCAAUUCGUCUAAGGUUUCCCCAUCCUAGAAAUGGUUCUCACUGCCCCCUAUUCUUUUCUUUCACAACACUUAUCUCAAUUGUCAUCAUCUCAGGUCUGAUUCCUGCUCUAGGGUUGGUGGGUAAGGGCACAGAUGGGCUCUGGAGCUACCCUGCCUGGCUUCCAGCCCUGGCUCCACCACUUGCUAACUUAUUAAAGUUAUUUAGUCGCUUUGUGCUUCAGUUUCCUCAUCUGUACAAUGAGGAUAAUGAUAGAAGCUAUCUCAGAAGUAGGAUAAGUGAGUUAAUAGGUGU
Equus caballus (horse) is the source of this 1671-nucleotide long non-coding RNA. The record is from Ensembl. Lineage: Eukaryota; Metazoa; Chordata; Mammalia; Perissodactyla; Equidae.